GAGAUAUUGUAAGAUGCCCGCAAGCCAUCAUCAUUGCUUUCAGACGUUGAAGCAAACAUACUGUGCACGGUGCUCUUCCAGCUUUGAUGGUUUCAUGGAGUCAUUGCCCAAAACUUUGUUGCAUAAAAUGCAUGUGGGCAACCGUUUGUCUGCCUGUGAUGGAAGAAAACCAAAUUUUAAAUAUUCAACACUAUACUGACGACACUUCUUCUUAGAUUCGGUCAUGUUUCGUAUCAAUUACCAAUCUGCAAUGUAAACAAUAAAUAAAAAACCGAACAAUCAAA
Long non-coding RNA from Drosophila ananassae, 284 nucleotides. RefSeq lists it as uncharacterized. The transcript is spliced from 2 exons. Lineage: Eukaryota; Metazoa; Arthropoda; Insecta; Diptera; Drosophilidae. The record is from RefSeq and is a predicted model, not a curated record.